This 1186-nucleotide long non-coding RNA is filed under the name Equus caballus (horse). RNAcentral's name for it is "lncRNA (ENSECAG00000051235.1)". Lineage: Eukaryota; Metazoa; Chordata; Mammalia; Perissodactyla; Equidae. The record is from RNAcentral.
GUAAGAUGUGUGUGGGAAGUUAUGGAGACAAAAAGAGAGAAAAAGUGAAGACAAAAAAAAUUAACAUUUAGUGAAGUUAAACAAAAAGUAACUUAAUGGCUGAAGUUUCUUGCUGGUGCUCAUUGUGUGGAUGGUCGGUUUCAUUAUAGGGCAUCAGCUAUCAUCUGGCCCCUUAGGUUUGCCCUUGAAAGAAAACAUGCUGGCCGGCCUCCCUCCAGACAAGCCCUGUGAGUGCCUUUGUGAGGACAAAAUCUUCAUGCUAAUCCAUCCUUCUAUGGGGAACAGCAAAGAAAGGAACAAAGGGUUUGCAGGCUGGCACUGGCCCAGAGACCUCACUUUGAGUAGCACUAAAAAAGUAACAGCUUCAACCUAUGAUGAUGACGCCAGCAGAUAAUCCCUCCACCUUCCACCUCAAGACAGCUGUGUGUGCUAUGAAUGCUCAUUUGAGAGCCACAGAAGAGUAAAGUGGGUAGACUUCGAGGCUGAUAGAAGACACCAAGCCCAUGAUCUGUGUGGCAGGAGUGACAGACUUGCUGGAAGGAUGCAAGGCGGUAGGAAGCGAGGGCAGGCUGGGUGAACCCACGAGUGUCUUAUGGUUCUGAUCAAGUCAAGAGAGAGACAAGGACCAGCAUUUCAAGUGUUACAGACUUCUGCCUCAGAAACCAUCAAUGACCAGAAGAGCCUGGAAGAACACAAGGACACCCCAUGGAUCUCAUGACUUGUCUUCCUCUCACCCACAUAAGAGGUCACCGCUACUACAAACUAUGCAUUGAGUGACUAUGGGCCAAGCAAUGUCAUAGGCCCUAGUGAUGCAGUAAUAAACAAGACAGAGUUGAUCUCUGCCCUCAUGGCAGCUCUCUACAGCUAUGGAAAGGACUUCCAGCUACUUAAACUUUCUUGUCUCAGGUUAGUAUAUGUUUAAGAGUCAAGCCUGAAAUAGAAAAGGAAAAUAAAUUCUGGAUGUAAAUACCACCUUUCUGUAAAAAUCACUCCCCAAUCCCGUCCUACAGCAUGUUCAUUUGGCACAUUGCUCUAUGCGCUCUAUGUGCACCUUUGCUUGAUGGAAAGUCUAAUCAGCUAUGCGACUGUGACGAUGAAGAAAUCACUAUUUUCAAUAAACGGAGCCAAGACUAUUUUUAAAAACAGUUUUCCUAAGCUUAAUUAUUGUCAGAUACCUUUCUACUGA